GAUGAACGCUAGCGGCAGGCCUAAUACAUGCAAGGCGAAGGGGCAGCAAUGUCACUGUCGUACGGGUGCGUAACGCGUAUGCAACCUACCUAUCACAGGGGAAUAGCCUUUGGAAACAGGGAUUAAUACCGCAUAAAGCAGGGACACCGCAUGGUGAUAUUGCUAAAGAUUUAUCGGUGAUAGAUGGGCAUGCGUCUGAUUAGUUAGUUGGCAGGGUAACGGCCUACCAAGACGAUGAUCAGUAGGGGGCGUCAGAGCGUGGUCCCCCACACUGGCACUGAGAUACGGGCCAGACUCCUACGGGAGGCAGCAGUAGGGAAUAUUGGGCAAUGGAUGCAAGUCUGACCCAGCCAUGCCGCGUGCAGGGAAGAAGGUCCUCUGGAUUGUAAACUGCUUUUAUCGGGGAAGAAUAGUUUCUUGCGAGGGAAUGUGACGGUACCCGAUGAAUAAGCCACGGCUAACUACGUGCCAGCAGCCG
RNAcentral lists this ribosomal RNA (478 nucleotides) under uncultured bacterium. RNAcentral describes it as "bacterial SSU rRNA". It matches the Rfam family "Bacterial small subunit ribosomal RNA", at positions 28 to 517 of the family's 1533-position model. The record is from RNAcentral.